AAAAAAGAAACCGGGGGAGGGAACUAUAUUCAAGUAACACAAAGGUCAGAAAACAUAAAUGAAAGAGAAGAAAUCAUCAAACAAGAACCAGGUAACUAAAUACUUGGCCAAAGCUAAGUUGCAAUCUCCUGAAUCCCAUGUCGAGAAGGUUUUAGGACACCAUUGCAGCAGUUUCAUCUUCUUCGGCCUCUCCGGCUGGCACUUCGUUAAACAUAUACUGGCUCUGAUACUCCAUCAAGUACUGUGUGGAUCUCUUCACAUCAUAAAACAGAUUAUAGACUCGAGUAAUAUCUUCCACUUCAACAGCCUUCCCUUUGCGCUUUUGGCAGGCCAAUGCUGCAGAAGUGAUAAGAUGGAUGGCGUAUCUCAAAGAAGUAUUAACCCCGAUCUUGGUCAAUAAAACUUUUGCAUCCUCAGACAUUUCUACAUCCUCCUCUUGGCAUCUGAUGUCCAGGAUUUUGCGAAUUUCUUCCUCUUUGUAAGGUUGUGUAGAGAUGAUGAGCAGGCGAUCAAGAAAGUCAAUUGGAAUCCCGUGUGGGGAUCUGUAGUUUGUUCCCCGGAUUGUAGUAAUGCCUCUAUUUGUAGCAACAACCAAUAUAGGUGCCAUGUCAUUCUCCAGAGCUCGGUUUAGGAAAGAGAAACACUCAAUGUCAAGCAUAUGUACUUCGUCAAUGAAGAGGACACCGGGCACAAUCUCUGCCUUCCCUUCCUCCCUCCACUCAGCAACCUUGGUAUCUAUUUGUUCUCUCACUUCAGCACGAAUCUCACCAGUAUCACCCGUAAAUAGUGCUAAAAAUCCCUGUGUUCUGCUAUUUAUGACAUCGAUUUCGUGAAGGGUAACGCAAUGAACAAUCUCCUUGCGCUUCUGCAGCUCCCCUUCAGGACAUUGUACAAACUUAGUCUGAGGUCCCAUAGCAUCAUAAUCCCUCGACCUUGAAAACGACCUCCCCAACUUCGUAAUCUUCCCAGAAGCCUUGUCAAUAGCAAUAACAUCCCCACUCUGUACUUUCUCCUUCCCCAAAGCCUCAAUCAUCUUCGCCCCCAAAUCAUAA
RNAcentral lists this unclassified non-coding RNA (1052 nucleotides) under Hevea brasiliensis (rubber tree). The record is from RNAcentral. Lineage: Eukaryota; Viridiplantae; Streptophyta; Magnoliopsida; Malpighiales; Euphorbiaceae.